GCAAGGUGGAUCUUCAUGACAGAUGAUGAAUUAGGUUUAUUUAUAUGAAGUUUUCCAUUAGGGGAGAGUUUUGGGUUGCCAGUUCAGAAUCCACCAACAUUCAGGCCAUUUUGAACAUCUUGGCCAUCAAAAGGUAUUGCCAUCUGUGCAGAAUACAGGAAUGAGCCUCCCUUCAACACAUUAUAGAGAGAUUUUAGCACCAGAUCUAAUUCAUUGGACAAUGUCUGCACUACAGCUGCCAGACUGAGUUGACUCAUACAUACCUGACUCUAUAUGGGUUGACAAAGCAAUGUUCUUGGGUGACAUCCACCAGCUCUCUCAGGCAACAAGAUCUUCUAAUGUUUGAAGAAGAAGAAGGGCAGCAAGUCAUGUUCAACAAUGCUGCAGGAGUGUUGGGACUCAAGACUGUGGCAGGUUUUGAACUGAUAACCCAAGGGAUGUCAGAUGGAGAUCCAGAUAAAGGAAGGAGCUGCAAAGGGACCAAAAGACACCAGCCAAGGAAGUCUCUGUGCACCAACAGACCAGAGUAGGAGGGCAUGGUGUUUGCUUCAGUUUCCUCACCCAGGUGGCCUUUGAGAACCGAACAGUCAUCAGAAGAUUAAUCUUACAAACCAUGCUGCAUCAUUCAACUCCUCAAGAAGCAAGAAGGUUUAUGAGACAGAAACUUCUCUACUGUUGACCCCAGGUUGUGGACUAUCCUCCCAACUGAAAUCUGCACUGCUUCUCUUCUGCUGACCUUCCAUAAGCAAAUAAAAAUAUUAUUCACCUGUGCUUUCAGGUCUAAUUAACAAGAGCCAAGUGGUUAAACUUGCUGCUUUUUGCCACUGCUUCUCCUGUAUCUGUGCACGUGGAUACAAAAUUGAACUUCUUUAACCAUAUUACUUUUAUAUGACUUUGUGCAUAGUGGUGGUGAUGGUGGUGGUGGUUUACAUUGUGGUUUUAAUGCUUUCUAACUGUUUUCACUACAUUUGAAAGCCACCUCUGCAAAACCACCUUUCUCAGAUGAAAGGAAUUAUAUUAAACUGGAUUAAUACGUAAGGAAAUAAAACUUGCUACUCGAGUACACAAGCACUUUGGAUUGGCUGUACUGGCUGCUGGCCAUCCACUGACAAAAGUAUUUGGUUGCACAGUUCUUGCAGACAGGUCUGCUGGAACAAAUGCUUAGGAUUAGAAUGUGAUUGCUCCCAUAGAAUAAAGAAUACAAAUAGGCAUAGUGAUUUUUCUUUUGUUCAGCUUAUCAGGCUUCCCCCUCCAACGUAACUCAAUUCUAAAUUGUUAAAAACAGAUUUUCUGCCAUAUGUAAUAUAUACUGCAUGUAUGCACUAGUGGUGGAGGAAUUAGUGGUGGAGGAAUUAGCAGAGCUCAGAACUGACACAUGGCUUUGCCAUGAAAUGGUGCACACAUCAAAAUAAUCCAGCUAAAUCCCUCUUGCUCAGCUGUCAUGCUCUUUCUGUGGGUAUUUAAAGGUCAAUACAUGUUGGGAAGAUGGAUGCCGUCUUUUGAAAUAUCUUGUACAACAUCUUUUAUUUGUAACUUAUAACUACUUCAAAUGUACAGUGCUGACCUUUAUAACUACACUAUGUGUUUUCCUAAGCCCAGCAUGUCACUGAAGCUUUAUCCCUGGCCCUGGUGAUGAGAUGCUUGGAAAUGGACAGAGGGAAUGCACCAUGUUGAUACUAUUAGCAAACUGAGCAGCUUGUAACUCUCUAGGCCAUAAAAAGCUGUUAGUAAAAGCAUCUGUGGGAGCUAUCAAGUGUUUGUUUGUGGGCCCAUUCUCUACUGAUUCUGCUCAUCCUUGGCAAAAUGGUUGAAGAGGAUGCCUUGGGUGUCAUCUUAUUAUCUCCUUGGUUUCUUCCCUGGUGGCCCCUACCAAGUUCCAUGUUCUCCUUCCUCAAUAUGCUAGUUAUAAUUUGUUUAUCCCAAGGCUAACCUAAUUUAGACUGAAAUUAUGUCAAUAAAUGGGUGCUAUACAUCUA
Molecule: long non-coding RNA, 1976 nt
Organism: Hemicordylus capensis (graceful crag lizard)
Lineage: Eukaryota; Metazoa; Chordata; Lepidosauria; Squamata; Cordylidae
Exons: 5
Source: RefSeq, a predicted model, not a curated record